CGAGGGGCAUCACAUGAAGUAGCAAUACGGAUGGUGGCGACCGGCGCACGGGUGAGUAACACGUAUGCAACCUGCCUUCAACAAGGGGAUAACCCGUUGAAAGACGGACUAAUACCCUAUAACACAGGGGUCCCGCAUGGGAAUAUUUGUUAAAGGACAACCGGUUGAAGAUGGGCAUGCGUUCCAUUAGCUAGUUGGCGGGGUAACGGCCCACCAAGGCAACGAUGGAUAGGGGAACUGAGAGGUUUAUCCCCCACACUGGUACUGAGACACGGACCAGACUCCUACGGGAGGCAGCAGUGAGGAAUAUUGGUCAAUGGACGCAAGUCUGAACCAGCCACGUCGCGUGAAGGAAGACGGCCCUACGGGUUGUAAACUUCUUUUAUACGGGAAUAAAGUGCCCCACGCGUGGGGUUUUGCAUGUACCGUAUGAAUAAGGAUCGGCUAACUCCGUGCCAGCAGCCGCGGUAAUACGGAGGAUCCGAGCGUUAUCCGGAUUUAUUGGGUUUAAAGGGUGCUCAGGCGGGGGAUUAAGUCGGCGGUGAAAUUUUGCAGCUCAACUGUAAAAGUGCCUUCGAAACUGGUUUCCUUGAGUGUGGAUGAGGUAGGCGGAAUUUGUGGUGUAGCGGUGAAAUGCAUAGAUAUCACGAGGAACUCCG
Molecule: ribosomal RNA, 659 nt
Filed under: uncultured bacterium
Lineage: Bacteria
Description: bacterial SSU rRNA
Rfam family: Bacterial small subunit ribosomal RNA
Source: RNAcentral